This is a long non-coding RNA of Brienomyrus brachyistius, 3547 nucleotides long. RefSeq lists it as uncharacterized. Lineage: Eukaryota; Metazoa; Chordata; Actinopteri; Osteoglossiformes; Mormyridae. The transcript is spliced from 4 exons. The record is from RefSeq and is a predicted model, not a curated record.
UAUUAAUUCAGUUCUAAGCGAUAGAGUGUAACACUUGUUUGUCACUGCGGUGUCAAAUUCAGAAUCAGAAAUUUUCAGAGCAUGGGAGGGCAGGCCAGACAGCCAUACUUUAAGGGCAACUUAGAGAAACCAUGGAAGGACGUUCAUGCCACACAGAGAAAAGCCAUGAAUUUCACACAGGAUUCAAGCCUUCAGCUCUGGGAGUGCGGGACAACAGUGCUGCACAGUGAGCCAGUGGUCAGAGAAUAAUAUGGGUGAACUGGGGGCAAGCAGGCAUCCAGUGUAGAGCUGCACAGUUUGAGCUGCGCAGUUUGAGCUGCGCAGUUUGAGCCCAUUGUGCUGCCACAGCAAUCUCUGGAUUUAAAGCUGCCUUUGAUGCAGUUUUGGGCUGUUGGGAUGGGGAGGGCCAUCAGUGCUGUCCUGUUCUGCUGCUCUACAGCAUUUGCAGCCAUAAGAGGUAAGCAGAAGUGUUCCCUGAAACAAACACUGGGAGGACCCCUGUACCGCUUUUCACCACUGGGUAGUUGGUAUUGGGGAGGAGACUGAUUGCAGAAUGAGGUUUUAGGCCAUUAUAGACUAAAAGUACACAGGGAAAAGGUGAAAUUAAAGAGAAAUAUUAAGGAUUUCUUAAGGACUGAUAAUGUGCAAAUGCAUCAUAUGCUAGUGGGGGUGCAGUGAGCCUUUGAAAUGCUUUUCCAUAGCUUAGAAAAGUGUUUUGGCUAUAAUUAUUUUGUGUUUUCAAUGUAAAUAGUGGUGAAACGCUGUGAUAAUUCAAGUAUCAGUACUUUCUAGAAGUUCUCCUUUAUGUGUAAAAUGGCAGUUAGAGUACCUUGGCGGGGAAAAAAACAGUUUUUAAACAGUAAGUGUCUUCUGGAAUAAGUUCAGUUAAAGAUGUUGCAUUCAAAACAUUUCCAUUGAUGACUUACUAACAGACCGCAUGUAAAAUAGUGACAUAAGCCAGAACUUACAUGGACAAAAAGACGGAUGGGAGGGAGCGUUGGGGAGGAGAAAAGCAGAGCGAUGGAAUGGAGUAAUUUAUGAAUUAGCCGAGAAACAAAAUUAUCUCCCCUCGGAAAAUAUGGACCACUGAUAAUUUGUUUUAUUUUUAACAGUGAAAGAGAAGUGAGAGAAACAUUCAAUCAGAUUUAAAGAAGAAUGUAUUUCGAACGUAUGGACUUGUUACAAAAUCAUGACGUUCAUGUUACUCAGAAUAACAGUAUGUUCAAAGUGUUUAGAGGCACCAGCUUACGUGGGAUUCCCCGAUUCCAGGGCCAGCAUACUCUGCUUCUAGUUUAGCGUAUUUAACCCUGCGUGUCUGAAGGAAAUACAAGACCAGACUUGAACAGCCUUUCUCUGUCCAACCUGCAACAAACCUUUAUCAUAUCUAGCUUUCUUUUUCUUCAAAAAUAACAAAUACAUCAGUUAGAUACAUUAAAUAUAUGUUUAAUUGUGUAAUCCUCUGAAAACUCAUCUCUUUAGGGUAGUUAGGUUAUUCUGGUUUGGCUGAUUGCCGCAGUUCUGCUCUCAGGAAGAAAUGUGGUUUUUUUUAAUAGAGCUCUGUCAUCCACACAACUGCCUGACACUGAGGUCUGGGCACUUCCAGGAGUCGCAAUGAAACAACUUCAAGCUUUCUUCUAGUACUUCCUCCCGCAAUAAUAAAUAAAGCAUUAAUGGCUGCGCGUCACAGGUGCAGGAUAUUACAUGGCUGCGCCGGGCUCUGUGCUGCACAGGAAAUGCCCCGUGUUCCCUUUUUCACGGGACUCUGCUAGAGGAAGAGUAACGCACUGGGACCCUGCGGGCACUGGCAAAAACCCAAGGAAAGACAUGUGUGCGCAUUUGCAUUAUCUCACUGUCUCCACUCAUUUUAUCGAUCACGUGACUUGCACAGUAACUUGCACAGGGAAAUGUGACUCGAGUUCUGCUCCAUGGACCUAAUUACAAUUGUCCAAUUUGCACGCUAUUUGGCACGUUCAGUCUAAAAAGAAACUUGCCAUCUUACCUGAUAGGGGGCAGUUUUGGCAUGUCACAGCUGACAUGGUGGCUUUCCUGUACAUAAGCUUGCUAACCUCAGAAGGAUACAGGGCUACAGCGUCCGGAACCUCGGCAUGGAGGUGGAGCCACAUACUACUCCAGAUUUCCCCUGUGUAUCAUCUGGAGAGGCGGCCCACUUAAAUCAGUAAGUCAACGUUAAUUCAGUAAAACCAGUGUUCAUUCAGGGCCUGCAAUUGAUCAUGUAAUUAUUUCCAAGCUCACGGAAGAAUUGAGUCAUGAACUCCGUUAAACAUUGGCCAUUGCUUGUGGGAUAUUCAGGACAGAAAUACCCUCUAGUGGAGCAAACCCAUCAUUGCAGCCACAACAACACUCACUAACACAAUUGGAACCAGAGUGCAGAAGACUUCUGAGACACUUCUGCUUGAAAACAAUGGGGGAGAACGAUGACGAAAUGAGACGCUACAUUUGAAUAAUUGAGAUGAUCAGUACAGUACACUUGUAAUGAUGAGUCACUGCUGAAAAGUGUUUUCUCAGACUGAAUCAACCACUCUCCCCACAGUCAUUUGGCUAGUUUUGCUUUUCAGGCCAUAACCCCAAUGUAGCUGUUCUUUAUUCAUGCAAAAAUGUCAUCAUUCAUUACAAAAAUAUCUCAAGCAAUAUCACUCUGCAAAUGAAAUGGAUAAUCGUGUUUUUCAGCGACUCAACUGUGCUUGCCAGCCAAUAUUUUGUGUUUUUAUUUUUUGCACUGACUGGAUGAAUUGUGUGCUGUGUGACUCUAUAGACUGCAAGUGUAGAUCGUUUUGAAAUAUUGACAAUUACAUUUUAAAAAAUAAUUUAUUCUCAAUCGCAAACACAAAUACAAUCACAGACACUGGUUUGGGGCAGAACCUUUAUAACAGCAGACCAAGCUACAAACUGAAGAUACACACACUGGAUUUUACAGCGUAGUUUGUAAGUUUUGGAUUGGCCCAUGGAACACGCGUACUGUCAUACUAACAUUAGUAUGUACAAACUGAGAGGACGCACAGCCACCGAACAGUAAAUUCCUGUGAAAACAGAGGAGUUUAAUGUACAAACACAUGCCCAUCUUUGAUUUCCUUAUCCCCCUAGUGGCUGUAGGGUAAGUCCUUGGAAGACUCCAUUGUUCACUUUUCUCAGGUGUACAAGUCUGGGGCCCAGGGUCCGUGGUGACGUCACAAGCCAUCGUCCACUGACAGGCUGCCUGCUUCACUGGCUCCCAGGGAAACUGGAGUCUCAACCCAGAACCACUGAUACUUGGGUGAUGAGUCUGAAACAGUGAGUCCCCAUAGCUGCGGAGGGGUCCAAGCAUUUUCUGACUCACACAUACCGCUGCCAGAAUUACAUGUCACACACAUGCAUACACAUACACCUAAAUGAGCAAUCCAGCUUCAGAAAGGAAACCGCAGUGUUGGCAGAGCUUGCGCCAUUUCCUGAUGCCAUCUGUCAGUGUUGGUACUAUUGAUACCUCACAAUAUCAGAGAAAUGGAUCAUGUGCGACAAUACACAGCCUAACUUUUUUUGUUGUUUUUUUUUU